This 148-nucleotide non-coding RNA is filed under the name Homo sapiens (human). Lineage: Eukaryota; Metazoa; Chordata; Mammalia; Primates; Hominidae. The record is from Rfam by way of RNAcentral.
GCCGGGCAUGGUGGUGCAUGCCUGUAGUCCCAGCUACUCCGGAAGCUGAGGCAGGAGAAUCACUUGAACCCAGGAGGUGGAGGUUGCAGUGAGCUGAGACUGCACCACUGCAUUCUAGCCUGGGUGACAGAGUGAGACUCCGUCUCAA